UGUCUGACUCAAAGUGACAGCUUUCACUUCAGUCUGCGCCUUCAGAGCACUUCCUCACUGCCACCCUGAAUCCUGGUGGAGAGAUGAGUUUCUACAGUGAUGCAUCCACCGAGGACAUGAGCGACGAGUUAGCGUCUCUGGGGUGGUACCACUACGACCUGUCCCGCCAUGCUGCAGAGGCCCUUCUCUUGUCCAAUGGGACUGAUGGAAGUUAUCUCCUGAGAAACAGUAAUGAGGGACCAGGCUGCUUUGCUCUGUCUGUGAGGGCGAAGGAUUCUGUCAAGCAUUUUCAUGUGACACGCAGAAACAACACUUAUGUGUUUGGGUUUAAUGAGUUUGCCACCCUUCAAGACUUCGUUAACCACUUUGCUAACCAGCCUCUGCUUGGCAGUGACGCAGGAACCCUCAUCGUGCUGAAGUGUCCAUACCCGUGGCGUGUGGAGGAGCCAUCCAUCUAUGAGUCAGUGCGAGUUCACACAGCCAUACAGACGGGACGCACAGAAAAUGAUCUGGUGCCAACUGCUCCAUCGCUGGGCACAAAGGAAGGCUAUCUGGUGAAACAAGGAGCAAUUGUGAAGAGCUGGAGACAGAGGUGGUUCACACUCAACAGAUAUGAACUCAAAUACUUCAAAGACAAUAUGUGUGAGGAGCCCAUUCGAACCCUGGAUCUAAGAGCCUGCUCUGCAGUCCAAUUUGACUACUCACAGGACAGAGUCAACUGUUUCUGUCUGGUGUUUCCUGAGAGGACAUUUUAUCUGUGUGCAAAGACGGGUGUGGAAGCAGAUGAGUGGAUCAAGAUUCUGAGGUGGAAACUGCCUUUAGAGGGUUGUUUGACUAAGGAGGAGUCUAAGAAAGAAAAUGUUGCGUAACCUGCGGGACACAUACAUCUGUAACAAGAGAGAGGGACAGGGCAAAAGUGGACAGCCGGCCAGCAUGAAAAAAAAGUGGAAAUAUAUGGAAGCAAUGGCCCUCUUGAAAUUGACAGCCAUGAUGAAGCCUACAGCACGGUCUUUACCGAGGCCAUGAAAUGUGUGUGAGCUUUUGCACCAAAAUGACGCGUGAACUCUGGCAUUGCUAGGGGACGCAACUAUGUCAUGGCAGGUGUAUUGCUUAGGACCCAAGGAAGUGCAGAGUUGAGAGUGAAAGUUGUUUGGAUGAGCAGAUCUCAACAAAGCUGCAAGCUGCAAUACUGGAGGCGAAGCAACUGGCCGACUCUGAGCAGGCACUUUUUGAGCGGGCACUGUGGUAUGCAUUGAAAGACAGCCAUCCAUCAUGUAACACGAGACCAGAAGAAGAAGGGUUUCUGAAGAGCUAGCCAAAUAUGCAGGCUGGGAACUGUAUUAAAAAUGUUUUGAACAAACUAAUUUGAUGGGUGUAGGGAAAACUCAGUGGGACAAUUCUUCAACUCAAAGUCAAAGAAGAACCUGACAUCUUGAACUACAUUUAUGUAGCUGACACUUUUAUCCAAAGCGACUUACAAUAAAUGGUAAAUGGACUUCCCCUUGUGCUGUACCCUCCUCGUCUUCUGACCACUCAAAGCACUCUUUACACAAUUGCCGCCUGCUGUUCAGAUAAACAUUCAUACACAACCACACACUAGUUACCAGCCAUGGGGUUGAAGCACACCGGUAAGUCACAGAUCAGCAAAGGUCGAUGACUGCUGCCGGUGGAGACUCCAGAGAUGGAAAGAAGUCCCACGUACAUGGAAGACGUCAUCGCAGAUGGAUGAGCAAUGAUGAACAGCAUGAUUUAAAAGUGAAGAGUAAACUCGAGCAUGACUAAGACUGGGACACAUUUCCCUCAGUGCACUGACUGAAGACUAACAACAUGGAAGUGACACCACUUUGCUUUUUAAUCGUCCAAAGAUGCUUUGUUUCUCAUAAGUUUCCUGUUAAUAGUCGCUGCUUUUCCCAGACGAUGUUUGUUACUACUAACAUCAACUUAGGACAUUGCCGGCAUUAUUCUAUAAGUCUAAAACCAACAAUGAGUGUGUCUCAAAAUGCAUACCUCUAUUAGUACACUUCAAUGUAGUACACUUUGUACACGAGGAACCUCUUGCGCGGUGCCCUAAUUUCAACAUUGCACACUGCCGUUUUGCAGUGACCAAAAGUGACAACAGAUUUUUUUUUUCUUUUUUACCGCCUCUUCUUCUUCUUCUUCUUCUUCUUCUUCUUCUUCUUCUUCUUCUUCUUUUUAAAGGGCGAGUAGCAAACAGACGGUGGAGUAUUAUCGCCAACAUAUGGGAGCUAUCUCUGCCCACUUAUUACCAAACUUAUGCCACAACAUCAGUGCUAAUUAAAAUGUGCCGCUGUAGUUAGGAGUAUGUUAGCUAGCUAGCUAGUGAAUGCCAACAUUAUCUAGCAGACUAAUGUUAGUACUCGAAUUUUUGUUUGCGGUAGCAAAUCAUUACAAACCCAACAAACAUUACUGACCCGCCUCUGUUUGACAACAGUAUUGCACUUAGUGUAAAAAACAUGUAUAGCUUACAUCUGUAUAAUGCAGCGAUGUUCACUGUAGCCAGCUUAGGCUACUUGUUUUUCCAAGACACCAUGUCAAAAGUUGAGAAGUUCUGCUAUGUCACAAAGAUGGCGAGUGUUGAGGAUGAGAAGUUUCUAUCAUUCCAUACUCAGCUUUUGGAAUGUUGUGAAUGCACCAGUAGUAUACUGCAUUUUCCCACACUAUGCAGCAUGAACACACUUAGCGCACCUGUGCACUCAAAUUAUUAAGUGUUUAGUACAGAAGUAUGCUAUUUGAGACACACAGAAUAUGUUAGUCCGUCUCUCAGUCCUUUGUGACUUCCCACUCUGUCUGUGGCUCUCAGCUCCAAGCCCACUGGUUCCUACUGCUGAGGAAACAGCUCACUGAUAUAUAUAGUAUAGUAUAUAUAGUUCACAGCAACAGUUAACCACUUUUAUUGUUUAGAGAGCGUUACUCAAACAGGAGGAAAUAAUGCAUUGUUCGGGGACUGUCUUUACACACUGUUCUUUAUUUACACUGAACAAAAAUUUGUACAGUUUCGUUUUCACUCUCAUUUUUGAGUUGAAAUAAAAAGAUCUAAGACUUUUUCCAUGCACACAAAAGACUGAUUUCUCACAUUUUGUGCACAAAUGCGUUAAAAUCCAUGUUAGUGAGCACUUCUCCUUUCCCAAGAUAGUCCCUUCCACCUGACAGGUGUGGCAUAUCAAGAUGCUGAUUAAACAGCAUCAAUUACUACACAGGCGUGCCUUGGGAUGGCCACAAUAAAAGGCCACUCUCGACUAAAGACAUUAAUUAGGCACUCUGAACAAGGCUUUCACAUGACUAGGGCUACAGAUAUGCACUUUUUGGUCCAGCGGGAUACUUCUGAGAAAAGAACAUUUCUGCAAACUGCCAGACACCAUGGAAGGUGAACAGUUGUUCACUCAAGUCGAUCAUGACGACAAACUGCUGACAGGUCAAGACCCUGCAGAGGAUGAGGAGGACGUAUGAGUUUCCCUGAGACAGUUUGAGUGCAAAUUCUUUGAUACAAACCAAUUGUGCUUCAGCUGUUUGGAUGGCUACUCCCAGACCAUCUUACAGGUGAGGAUACAGGAUGUGGAGGUCCUGAGCUGGUGUGGUCUGUGGUUGUGAGGAUGAUUGGAUGUACUGCCAAAUUCAAGGAAACCUCAUUGGAGACAACUUAUGGGAGAGGAAAGAACAUUCAGUUCAUGGGCAGCAUCUCUGGUUGACACUCCUGCAGUCAGCAUGCCAAUUGUACACUCCCUUCAAACUUGUGACAUCUGUGUCAUUGUUGUGUGUGAUCACACUGCACAUUAUAGAGUGACCUUUUACUGUGACCAUCCCAAGGCACACCUGUGUAGUAAUGAUGCUGUUUAAUCAGCAUCUUGAUAUGCCACACCUGUGAGGUGGGAUGGAUUAUCUUGGAGAAAGACAAGUGCUCACUAACACAGAUUUAAACAAAUGUGUUACCAAAAUUUGAGAGGAAUGUAUCUGUUGAGUGCAUAAAAUCUUACACCUAAAAUUUAAACCUGUACAAAAUGAGAGCAAAAACAAAAGUCUUGGUUUUAAUUUUUGUUCAGUAUAUAUUAAGGACAGCAGGACAGUGUGUGUGGGAUGGACCUUUUACACAGCAGACAUUUUGACGUGUCAUAUUAGGAAAAGCAGGGAUGGAACUGAUAACAUGAACAAUGGUUUAGUUCCAAUAAGUGUCCUAGUAAGCUAUUCAGUGAGCCAGCAUGCACAAUACCAGGGCCUCACCUAAAUUGAAUGCAGCUAUUGUUAAUGUUAUUAUAUACACCUGUAAUUUUUCCUACCAUGACAUGGCAAAAUGACUACUGUGAAAAAGGUCUGGAGUCAAAAUAAACUAUUGUAUGUGACUUCAUGAUGUGUGUAAGGAUGUGUUCACUGUAGAUUUUGGUCUGCACAUAAGGGUUGUUAACAAGAAACAGAACCAGUCACCUCUGCUCUGGGUGGUGAGUACUGCAUGAGAACUUACUGAAGACUGAUGAAUGUAACCAAGUGUAGAAAAUGACUUUAAAUACAAACCUACCAACUGAAGCAUUCUAAUCAAAUGGUUCAUUUUGUAGUGACUCCUCUUAAACAGUAAUAAAUUAAUGUUAAUGGGGCAGCAACAAAGUCAACAUGCAACUAUAUUGCUACUCUGACAUUUCACUGUAAAAAUUCAAUUUAAAACUAGUGUAGGGAGGUCUUUAACAGCUCCUAGUGGCAGCAGGGGUUAACUGAAUUUGUCACCUUUGAUGUCAUCUCACUACGGUACACGUGAUCUUCUGUACCUCCGUCAGUUUUUUAUACAAGGGACCUAUCUUUACAACGCUGCUUACAAAUAAAUGCCAAAACAAAACCAAA
RNA transcript from Epinephelus moara (kelp grouper), 4845 nucleotides. It is a transcript of the gene named dual adaptor of phosphotyrosine and 3-phosphoinositides, with no coding region annotated. The transcript has 10 exons. NCBI's taxonomy places the organism in Eukaryota, Metazoa, Chordata, Actinopteri, Perciformes, Serranidae. The record is from RefSeq and is a predicted model, not a curated record.